Molecule: ribosomal RNA, 118 nt
Filed under: Procavia capensis (Cape rock hyrax)
Lineage: Eukaryota; Metazoa; Chordata; Mammalia; Hyracoidea; Procaviidae
Source: RNAcentral
GUCUGUCACCAAACCAUCUUGAAUGAAUCCAGUCUCAUCUGGUCUUGAAAACUAAGCAGGUCUGGCCUGGUUAGUAUUUGCACUGGAGACCACCUAGGAACACAGGGUGCUGUAGGCU